UACGGAGGGGGCUAGCGUUGUUCGGAAUUACUGGGCGUAAAGCGCACGUAGGCGGCUUUGUAAGUUAGAGGUGAAAGCCCGGAGCUCAACUCCGGAAUUGCCUUUAAGACUGCAUCGCUCGAAUCAUGGAGAGGUGAGUGGAAUUCCGAGUGUAGAGGUGAAAUUCGUAGAUAUUCGGAAGAACACCAGUGGCGAAGGCGGCUCACUGGACCGGUAUUGACGCUGAGGUGCGAAAGCGUGGGGAGCAAGCAGG
RNAcentral lists this ribosomal RNA (253 nucleotides) under uncultured bacterium. RNAcentral describes it as "partial 16S ribosomal RNA". It matches the Rfam family "Bacterial small subunit ribosomal RNA", at positions 524 to 776 of the family's 1533-position model. The record is from RNAcentral.